Molecule: long non-coding RNA, 801 nt
Organism: Selaginella moellendorffii
Lineage: Eukaryota; Viridiplantae; Streptophyta; Lycopodiopsida; Selaginellales; Selaginellaceae
Exons: 5
Source: RefSeq, a predicted model, not a curated record
CUCGGGUGGCCACCAGUCGAGCGUCGCACAGAUGAAGUUCUCGCUGAUUCGAGCCACUGGAGAGGUGGUGUUGAUCUGGAGAACAACUCGUUGCAUCUCGAGCGAAUGCACUCCCUGCACUAUAGGUGAUGCAACUGGAGAGGAAGAAGGACAGAGGAGGUUGAAUUCAUCGCUCGAAGAAGAGAGAAAACACCGAUAUUGGCCCCUUUCGAGUGGCUCCUUGGAAAAAUGGAUACUAUAUGGCGGAUUUUCAUGUGACAAGCAAAUGCAGGCAAACAAUGAAGAUGAAGAGCCUGAUGGCAUGACCCACCUUUCUCAUGUACAUGACUAUACAACAAAGUGUUAAAGAGAAUUUUUUGAGAAGCAGAGGUACCUUUGGUUUCGUUGUCAAGAUAAGUCUUUCCUUCGUCAUUUCUCCUUGUGUUCCUUCAAAGUAACUCUCAUUCUUCCUGUAGGCGUUGCUGGUGAGCAAUCGUCAUCGUCAUCUACAGUCUUGGCCUUUGCGUCAGGGUCGGCUUGGACGAUUACUUCCUUGGCCCGCGGACCAGCUCAAUCAGUUGGCGCACCUCAUGACUUCCAAGCGACUUGUCGGAUUGCUGCUGCGGAACUGAUUCCUUCCUUCGCAAGAGUUAGCGCGCACGACUUUUCAAGCAUAAGAAAGGAAUCGCAGGAGGAAACGCAAAAGCAAGAGAGAUGGGCGAUUUAAGUUAAGCGGUUCUUUUGGAAGUAGCCAUGUUAUGUCACAUUUGCCAUGGUCCAGCUUGCAAAAUUCUGGUAAUUUUUCUAUCAUCUUCGCCGCUA